RNAcentral lists this ribosomal RNA (581 nucleotides) under uncultured bacterium. RNAcentral describes it as "bacterial SSU rRNA". It matches the Rfam family "Bacterial small subunit ribosomal RNA", at positions 102 to 669 of the family's 1533-position model. The record is from RNAcentral.
ACGGGUGAGUAACACGUGGGCAACCUGCCCUUGAGACUGGGAUAACUUCGGGAAACCGGAGCUAAUACCGGAUAAUAUGAGGAACCUCCUGGUUCUUUAUUGAAAGAUGGUUUCGGCUAUCACUUAAGGAUGGGCCCGCGGCGCAUUAGCUAGUUGGUGAGGUAACGGCUCACCAAGGCGACGAUGCGUAGCCGACCUGAGAGGGUGAUCGGCCACACUGGGACUGAGACACGGCCCAGACUCCUACGGGAGGCAGCAGUAGGGAAUCUUCCACAAUGGACGAAAGUCUGAUGGAGCAACGCCGCGUGAGUGAUGAAGGCCUUCGGGUCGUAAAGCUCUGUUGUUAGGGAAGAACAAGUGCGAGAGUAACUGCUCGCACCUUGACGGUACCUAACCAGAAAGCCACGGCUAACUACGUGCCAGCAGCCGCGGUAAUACGUAGGUGGCAAGCGUUAUCCGGAAUUAUUGGGCGUAAAGCGCGCGCAGGUGGUUUCUUAAGUCUGAUGUGAAAGCCCACGGCUCAACCGUGGAGGGUCAUUGGAAACUGGGGAACUUGAGUGCAGAAGAGGAAAGUGGAAUUC